UGGGGAAUAUUGGACAAUGGGGGCAACCCUGAUCCAGCCAUGCCGCGUGAGUGAUGAAGGCCUUCGGGUUGUAAAGCUCUUUUUGGCGGGGACGAUGAUGACGGUACCCGCAGAAUAAGCCCCGGCUAACUUCGUGCCAGCAGCCGCGGUAAGACGAAGGGGGCUAGCGUUGUUCGGAAUUACUGGGCGUAAAGCGAGUGUAGGCGGUUGCCGUAGUCAGGUGUGAAAGCCUUGAGCUCAACUCAAGAAAUGCACUUGAUACUGGGUGACUAGAGGACCGGAGAGGAUAGUGGAAUUCCCAGUGUAGUGGUGAAAUACGUAGAGAUUGGGAAGAACACCAGUGGCGAAGGCGGCUAUCUGGACGGUUACUGACGCUAAGACUCGAAAGCGUGGGGAGCAAACAGGAUUAGAUACCCUGGUAGUCCACGCCGUAAACGAUGGGUGCUAGACGUUGGCGAGCUUGCUCGUCAGUGUCGCAGCUAACGCGUUAAGCACCCCGCCUGGGGAGUACGGCCGC
Molecule: ribosomal RNA, 517 nt
Filed under: uncultured bacterium
Lineage: Bacteria
Description: partial 16S ribosomal RNA
Rfam family: Bacterial small subunit ribosomal RNA
Source: RNAcentral